RNAcentral lists this long non-coding RNA (1318 nucleotides) under Lepidothrix coronata (blue-crowned manakin). Its description in RNAcentral is "lncRNA (ENSLCOG00000000298.1)". The record is from RNAcentral. Lineage: Eukaryota; Metazoa; Chordata; Aves; Passeriformes; Pipridae.
GAAGCAAAGGGAUAUCCAAAGUUAAAUCUCAAGUCCACAGCAGAGGAGACAGACCUACCUCGCUCUCAGGUCAACACUCACUUGUCCACAGUGUUUUUGUCAUUUGAAUUGAUCCAGGUCCAAGGUCAAACCCAUCAGUGGUGUUUAGAUGAAAGCCAUGCAUGACCCUUUUCACAAGAAGAGUCAACUCAUAGCAGCUGGGUCUGGGAUUUCAUUGUAGCACCCACAACACCUCCUUCACUGUGGACUAUCCCAGAAAAAGGCAGUCAGACAAAGUCAGACAAACUAUUCCUGUGCCCAGGAAAGGCUGCACCAUCUUUGCUUGCAAGAGCAAAAACUACAUCAACUUACUGUCAUCACGCUCCAUUAACACUUUCAGGUCUUAAGCAGAAUGGGUUUUGACAGAAAUUGUUUAUAACUAAGCUGUCUUCCCUCUAAAUUGGUAAUAAAUAUUUUUAAGUCAGCUUUGACUCCAUUUUGAUUAAAAUUAUGAAGAAUAAAUCCUUACAGCUGCAUCUUGUGUUCAUGUAUUUGUAACCAAACACUCUGGUGCUCUUUUUCGAAAUGAUUUACAAAAUGAGGCAUGUUAACUAUGCUGCUCUGAAAGAAUAUUAAAGACAUUUCACAAAAUACUGAAAUCAUAGUGAUUUGGGCUGGUCCCCUCUGGAGAACUUGUUGCAGUUGGCUCAGAAGGCUGAAUAAAUAUUUUCUGGGGACUCUCCAGUUUCUGACUCAUUUCAGCCUGGAAUAUCUAUUUGGAGCAUAAGACUCUCCUCAAUUUCAGUCCAACUCCACCAGCACUCACAGAACAUAACAGCUGGUAAGAAACUUGCCACUACCAAAUCUGUACCUUUCCAACAAUCAAGAACAUCAGUUGAGAGGUGAGGGUUUGUCUCUGUCAAUGCUUUUCCAUGUUGCUCAGCCAGGACCCUGUUGGCUUUCCCUGAAUAAACUGCAAUAGGAUGGGAAGAGAGACCUCCCAUACCAAGCAUGACACCUCUGACAGCAGGGGCUGCUCUCUCUCCUAAUCAUCCCUACAUCUUUCCCACUUUUCUACUUCAACUACCACCUCGAAACUUGUUUGAAGUGAAUGUCUGGGAUCCUGGAAAUGUUUGUGUCGCUAAUGUCCUCUGUCACUGCCUGCUACAUCACAGAGCUCUGUGUGCUUCAGAUACUGUAAGGGGACAACUGACCUGUUCUAACAACUCAUGUCCUGCUGGUAUCAGUUUUCUAGAGAGUCUUAUUUGCUCCUGAUGCUGUGACUAUGUAACAUUGUGACACGCUAAAUAAAGAAAAAAUCCUGCAAAGUAAAGUAAAA